CCCGCCAUAGUUUAUACAAAACAUCGACCUGCAAAAUCGAGAAAGGAGAUAUUUCCUGGUGUGUUU
Molecule: transfer RNA, 66 nt
Filed under: Peristernia sulcata
Lineage: Eukaryota; Metazoa; Mollusca; Gastropoda; Neogastropoda; Fasciolariidae
Description: tRNA-Cys
Source: RNAcentral